AUCCAACCGAUAAGUCCCAAAGAGAAUGAAACGUGCGUCUUGGAU
Schistosoma mansoni is the source of this 45-nucleotide non-coding RNA. Lineage: Eukaryota; Metazoa; Platyhelminthes; Trematoda; Strigeidida; Schistosomatidae. The record is from Rfam.